Molecule: ribosomal RNA, 251 nt
Filed under: uncultured prokaryote
Description: partial 16S rRNA
Rfam family: Bacterial small subunit ribosomal RNA
Source: RNAcentral
ACGUAGGGAGCAAGCGUUAUCCGGAUUUACUGGGUGUAAAGGGCGCGUAGGCGGGAAUGCAAGUCAGAUGUGAAAUCUGAGGGCUCAACCCUCAAACUGCAUUUGAAACUGUAUUUCUUGAGUGAUGGAGAGGCAAGUGGAAUUCCUAGUGUAGCGGUUAAUUGCGUAGAGAUGAGGAGGAGCACCAGUGGCGAAGGCGGCUUGCUGGACAUUAACUGACGCUGAGGCGAGUAAUCGUGGGGAGUAAAUAG